Long non-coding RNA from Coregonus clupeaformis (lake whitefish), 901 nucleotides. RefSeq lists it as uncharacterized. The transcript has 3 exons. Lineage: Eukaryota; Metazoa; Chordata; Actinopteri; Salmoniformes; Salmonidae. The record is from RefSeq and is a predicted model, not a curated record.
GGAUAGAUAGACUAUUUGGCAAUUUGCGUCAUGUGCCAGCGCUUGGAUUGCCUAAAGAUGGCGCAGCGGUGACUGCAUGCUAUUUGAGUAUCCCGUUCACACACUCUCCAGUUUCAUCGUAAACAACUGGACAUCUCUCUCUCCAUGCUGUUGCGACAUUCACUGUCGGUGGUCUUGAAAUGGUCGAUUUGCUAUUCCAUAGUGACAUAGGAUCAUUUUAAAGCUUGUUUUAUUAAUUUAUUCGACUCAAAACGAGUUUGUGACUGACAGACAGCGCCAUUCAGACAGAAAACGAGACUGUGGUGCUGUGCGUUGGUCGAAAUAAAUAAAUAACGGGUUUCUCCAUUCUGGCUUCUGGCAGUGGACGCGCGAGAUGCUGCCGCUGCAUUGAUAAGAGUUGGUCGAAGGGAUUCGCACAGAAGUGACGAGGCAGCUUCAGCCAGGGCUUAGGCUGCGGAUAGGAUACCAACCUAGCACUGAUUGUGAUAGACUGAGUGAACGUUGUUUUAUGACAGACAGCAAGAAGAUGCACUGACUGACUAAGGACCGGAAGAGAAAAUGCAUCGUUUGAGAGUCGAAAUAUGAACGCACAUUCCACUUUGGUUUUCUUUUAUUUGCAGGCGUUGAGGCGCAGUGAUAUAUUUCCGUGCAUCUGAGCGGUUUAUGCAACUUUUCCUGGUCCCUUUUCCAUGAUAACGGCAGAACCGGGCUUGAUUUACCGGGAAUAUCACCAGGAUCAUGUGGACCCCGACGGAAGAGGAGAAAAUCGGAGUUGUGAUCUGUACGUUCCGAGGGACCGUGACACAGGGUCUGGCUCUGGAGAUAGGAGAGACAAUUCAGAUACUGGAGAAAUGUGAAGGAUGGUACCGAGGAUUCUCCACCAGAAAGCCCACAGUCAAGG